This 450-nucleotide ribosomal RNA is filed under the name uncultured bacterium. RNAcentral's name for it is "bacterial SSU rRNA". It matches the Rfam family "Bacterial small subunit ribosomal RNA", at positions 354 to 796 of the family's 1533-position model. The record is from RNAcentral.
GUGGGGAAUAUUGGACAAUGGGCGAAAGCCUGAUCCAGCCAUGCCGCGUGUGUGAAGAAGGUCUUCGGAUUGUAAAGCACUUUAAGUUGGGAGGAAGGGCAGUAAGUUAAUACCUUGCUGUUUUGACGUUACCGACAGAAUAAGCACCGGCUAACUUCGUGCCAGCAGCCGCGGUAAUACGAAGGGUGCAAGCGUUAAUCGGAAUUACUGGGCGUAAAGCGCGCGUAGGUGGUUUUGUAAGUUGGAGGUGAAAUCCCCGGGCUCAACCUGGGAACUGCAUUUGUGACUGCAUGGCUAGAGUGCGUCAGAGGGGGGUGGAAUUUCCUGUGUAGCGGUGAAAUGCGUAGAUAUAGGAAGGAACACCAGUGGCGAAGGCGACUACCUGGACUGAUACUGACACUGAGGUGCGAAAGCGUGGGGAGCAAACAGGAUUAGAUACCCCGGUAGUCC